This is a non-coding RNA of Triticum urartu, 4683 nucleotides long. NCBI's taxonomy places the organism in Eukaryota, Viridiplantae, Streptophyta, Magnoliopsida, Poales, Poaceae. The record is from RefSeq and is a predicted model, not a curated record.
ACCGAAUUCUUCCCCACCCACUUGUCUCUCCCCCAGUAGUCGGCCGCACCCCGGCCACCUCGCAGGCUCACGCCGGCGUGCCCCCCCGCCGCCAAUCACCUUCUGCGCCGCCUCCCACCUCGCGCGAGCGCCGCAUCCACCUCCCUCCCCCCCCGCGUGCGCCGCCGCCUUCAACCUCCCCCGCGCACCUGGUGCCGCAUCCUCCCGCAGGCCUGGCUCGUGCUCGUGCUCUCUGCAGCCUGCGCACGCGACCGGAGCACGGGGGUGGCCGCGCGGCACCACCGCGCGGACCGGAGCAUGGGGGCGAACGCGCGCCACCGCCACGACAAGCCGCGACCUCAACCGCGCUCGCCGACGCGACCCCCGCCUCCCCGCGGUGGCUCCCUAUUCGAACUCCUGGAAGGAGUUGGUGACGACCGCCUCGGCGAGAGUCAUCAGUGCCCGGUAAAGUUGAGUUCGUCAGUACUGCAUUUCAAAUCUAAAUGUUUAUAUAGUUUGGGGUGUAGCCAGAAUUUCAGAUGGUCUAAGUACUAGGGACCUUGCUCAAAUUAGAUUAUGAGGGAAUUUUUCACCAUUGGAAGCCUCUGUUUAUGCAUUUUGAUACAUAUUUUAAGACAUGCAUCUCUUCUAGUAAGGAUCUUCUCUUGUCUGAUGAUAUGACUGAGUGUGAACCGUUGAUGCAAAUUUUGAGAGUUACGCAAAUUGUGUUGGAAGAUUGCCAGAACAAAACAUCUUUCGCUGGCCUUGAGCAUUUUAAGAAUCUGCAUGCAUCAUCAGAUCCUGAAGUACUUGUUGCGGCUUUGGAAACUCCUGCUUCAGUGGUGAAAAUAAAUCCUUCAAAAUUACAUAUCAAUGGAAAACUAUCAACAGUGGAGCUAUAAGCAGCUCUUCAAUCAUUGUCCCAAGGAUGGGGUAGCAAGGAGGAAGGUCUAGGCUUGUAUUCGCGUGUUGUGGGAAAUGACCGAAAUCAGCUGGAGGGUUUGUGUUUAUUCCCAGCAGCCAUGGAGAACAAAUAUGAUGGCACACAAAAUCGUCUUGAGUCCACUCUUCAUUUUGAGUAUAAUUUGGCACCCGUCCAAGAUUCUGACCAGACCAAUGAGAAGAACAAGUCAUCUAAUCUUUGUGUGAUAUAUAUCCCAGACCUGCACCUUCAGAAGGAGGAUGACUUGGGCAUAUUGAAGCAAUGUAUUGACAAGUUAAUGUGCCUCUAGAGCACUGGUUUGCUUUGUAUACAAGGAUAAGAUAUGCACAUGCUUUUAAUUCCUCGAGGACAUGCAGGCUAUAUGGACGUAUAAGUCUUCUUUCUUCCAUUGUUCUUGUGCAAUCCAGUGAUGCCCGUGACGAACUAACUCGUUCUUGACAAAUGAGCCAGAGUACACAAAUGAGUUAAUCCGGCUUGUUCGGUCAGAAGAUAAUGUUCCUUGGUCCAUCCGUGCAUUGGCUAAGCUUGUACUGGGAGCACAGUUAGCAGCAUAUGUAACAUCUCAUGAGUGAGCUGGGAUACUUGAGUGAAUUAAGUAUCAUCUCUGCUGGUGGAAACCGCAUGGUCUUGCUCAGUGUUGUGCAGAAAGCAGCAUCUUCCCUCAGUAGCCCUAGUGAUACUUCAUCUCCGUCAGUUGUUGAUGCCUUUUUGCAGUUCUUUUUGCUUCAUGCGCUGUCAUCUUCGAGUUCUGGGACCACCGUCAGGGGUUCAGGAAUGUCCCUCUCUCCUGCAAGAUAAGGAUCCUUCUCACAUGCAUCUUGUCAGUUUGGCAGUAAAGACCCUUCAGAAGCUGAUGGACUACAGCAGACCUGCUGUUUCCCUGUUUAAAGAUUUGGGUGGUGUAGAGCUUUUGUCUCAGAGGUUACACGUGGAGGUGCAGCGUGUUGUUGGUGUUGCUGACAGUCUUACUUCAGUGAUUGCUAGUGAUACAUUGAAAUUGGAAGAUGACCAUUUCUACUCACAGAAGCUGCCGAUUAAGGCUUUGCUCAAGGCAUUAGGUUCUGCUACAUAUUCUCCUGCAAAUCCUGCUUGCUUUCAAAGUUCCAAUGAUAACUCUUUGCCCAUGUCACUUUCCCUUAUAUUCCAGAAUGUUGGCAAGUUUGCUGGUGAUAUUUACAUCUCGUCAGUUACUGUUACGAGUGAGAUAAUACAUAAGGAUCUACAUGCUUUCCUGCUUUGAAGGAACUUGAUCUUCCUGAUGCUUCCUGUCAUCAGUGACUGCUGGGUUAUGCCAUCUUGUAGCUCUUAUAUGUGUACCCAAAGAGCAAGGAAGACAGUGAGAGAGACGAGUUCUUGAGACAGAUGCUUGAAAUGAAUGCAAGGACAAUGUCGGGUCCGAAGCGCUGCCUUGGUGACAUGAUCGCAGUGGCCGACGUGGCUAUGGCGGAGCUCGAGGCCACAAAGCGCGUGCGGGAGGUAGUGGAGACGGAGCUGCAUGGGGGCUAGGUGCAGGCCUCCAUCCCAGCUGCGUCAAUACAGGCACUCGAGGCGACGAUCUCGCAUCUCCAGUAGGAGAUCAGUAAGGUGGGCACUGAUCUGGAGCUGCUUUAAGGUCAGAAACUUUGGAAGUCAGAAUCAAUUUAGGCUCCUGGUCUAUUACUUAAAUAUGACGUGCUUGUCUUUAUGAUUGGAAUUGGAACUGGCGGGUUGCGCUUCUGGUACUUGAUGUAAUGUCUCCAAAGAUCAAGGAAGACAGUGAGAGGCAUUCUCAACAGAAGGUUUCUGUAGACUUAGCAAAGAGGUGCUCCGGAUCGCCAUCAGCAGAUGGUAUGCAAGCCAAGUCAGUAGAAGGGUUGUGCAGAGUAGCCGCGUAGCCAACACAGCAGCAUGGUUGGAGACUUGGGGUGGAGCCAGGAAGAGGCAGCGGUGCUACCGCCAAACGUACCAGAGGAGACGCUGAUUGCACAUGGAGGCGCUGAGCCUGAGCAUGCUCUGAGUCUUAGCGUCAAGGAUAGUGAUAGACAGGGCAAAAAACUUGACCAUUUUUCAGCGUGUAAAGGGCUGGAGCCCCAUUUAAAUCCAGCCAGCGCGACACGCGCUGUAGGGCGACUUGAACCAGUGCGGCAAGCACUGUAGUGCAUACUUUUGAAUGAAACGCUUCCGUUUACCUUGUCGGUAAUUUUAACAUUUUCCAUUUUGUUUGUUUUUCCUUUUUUAAAUAGUAAAGAAACCCUUUUAAUGCGUGUUACCAUUUACUAAUAGUUGCCUAUUUUCCUAGUGCUAUAUCAUACUAUAUAGGAGUAAUUACUUGCCUGUUUUACCCGCAAAAAAACAUUACUUGCCUGUUUUUCGUUUUUGCAUGAAUAAUUGGCGGUUACGACCGUUUCUAUCGGAUCUCGCGUGGUCCGAAUUAGGAGUAGUAGAUAGUAAAAUCGACGGCGCGAUCGGCGGGCAAGUUGCUAAUAUUGGACGGAACGGCAGCAACCCACGCACGCGGCCACCCGCUCCGUCCUAUUUGUACGGGCAUCGCGCCCUCGCGUCUCGCCCACUACGCGCAUCUUCUCGCCCACCUCUCCCUUCUUCCUCGCAGCAAAGCCUCCAGCUUUUUUCUCCCUCCACACACACACGAACAAAGCUCCCCCGAUAGAACCAGAAACUCGCCGCGCUCCUUCGAUGUAGAAGAACAAACGGAGGCCGCGCUCGCGCUUCCUCGGGUCUACUGGCCGGUCUCGAGCGCGAGCCCGACCGGCGCCGCGCCAUGGGCCAUCCGAGGGCGGUGCGGCCGUCCGGAUCCAUGGCUCAAGGCGAGCCAUCCGGCUGCCGCCCCCGCCCGGACCCGAACCGUCCGGACGCUCGCUUCUCGCCGCCCCGGCUAUAAAAUGCCAGGCGGGGGGCGUGCGUGUUCUUGGGAACGGGACCGAAAAUUCCAUCCUCGCAGUCUCAAGGUGAGAUCGACGCCACUACGUCUCGUUCCCCCGCAGCCGAGGCGCACGCGAGCGCAGGUGAAGCCCCGCCCCAGGCGCAGCCAUGACCGGAGGAGGCGAUUGUUCCCCUGCUGCAUGCUGUACUUGUUAUUUAGUCCAAUGUGAUGUUCCCCUUACCAAUGGCCCUAUUUGGCCUGUCGCAAUGGUCUGUUCGCUAUGCCGCAUGGUCUUGCUGACCCCAAUCCAAUCGUUGAGGGUCUUCGGCUACAGUCUCUGGUGGUCUACAAUUCAGUUGCGGAGCUAAUGAACGUGAAGCAGCAGAACUACGGAGAAGACCUGGUUGCAUCAUAUGGGGCGGAGCGCUUGAAGCUGGAGCGAGAGCUUUGUAAACUCAACAAGAUCAUGAACCGUCUGAGGCUGAUCGGUUUCAAAAUAAGGGAGUACAUCAUGAAGGUUGAGCUGGGAAGGCCCCUCAAUGAGCCAAGAGAUUGGAACAGGCAGUAGGAACGCCAGCAGAUGCUAUCUUCAGUAAAGUCUGAAUGGGUAGCGAGAACAGAGAAUUACUUGAUGACAUAGCUGCUAUCUUCACUAGUCUAAAUCUAAAUGGAUGGGUAGUAAGAACAGAGUUACUGCUAUCUUUACUUUGCUCUCUUGGAACUAGGUUUUAUAUCUAUACUAUGCCUGUCUGGAACCACUAUAUCUGUACUUAAGUGUUUGUCUGGAACUACUAUAUCUGUACUUAAAUGCUCAAUAGUUGCUACUAUCUGGAAUCACUCUUCUUCAUUGUAGGGUUUAUUAAUUGCAGAGACCCUUAGAAAAUCUGUUUGCUGGAUGAAA